CCCACCUUCUCCUUUCUCCUACCCCCGUUCUCCUUUCUCCCAUUAGAAUAAAACAUCUCCUUUUGAGAUAUUUUUUCUUAAAAUAUUAGAUCAUUUUUUAAAAGGAGAGAUAUUUUAUUUUUUCUCCUUUCUCCAACUUUUUCUCCUUUCUCCCAGCCUUCCUCUCCUUUCUCCCACCCCCUUUCUCCUUUCUCCUACCCCCCUUCUCCCUGUCUCCCUUACCCCUGUCCUCCCCCUCCUAUACAGUUUUGAUCCCGUAUUUACAUUUUGAUUAAAAUUUCCAUGUAGACUAAUUUCAUGGAAACUUUCAACAUAAUACACUAAGAACCAC
Molecule: long non-coding RNA, 331 nt
Filed under: Mytilus galloprovincialis (Mediterranean mussel)
Lineage: Eukaryota; Metazoa; Mollusca; Bivalvia; Mytilida; Mytilidae
Source: RNAcentral